GCCCUUAAAUUAUCGCUAAUUGAUAAAGGAGGAAGGGGGGCAUAGACAGCCAGCAGGUUUGGCCUAGUAGCAGUCCCCUUGAUAGAGUGCGUACUAGCUCACUGAUCGAGCGCUCUUGCGCCGAAUAUAAACGUGGCUCAUCGAUCUGC
RNAcentral lists this non-coding RNA (149 nucleotides) under Prunus persica (peach). Its description in RNAcentral is "Bacterial large subunit ribosomal RNA". It matches the Rfam family "Bacterial large subunit ribosomal RNA", at positions 1044 to 1194 of the family's 2925-position model. The record is from Rfam by way of RNAcentral. Lineage: Eukaryota; Viridiplantae; Streptophyta; Magnoliopsida; Rosales; Rosaceae.